GGAGCAGUAGUUAAGACGGUUAUAACGCCGGCCUGUCACGCCGGAGGCCGAGGGUUCAAGUCCCUUCUGCUCCGCCA
This 77-nucleotide transfer RNA is filed under the name Deltaproteobacteria bacterium. RNAcentral's name for it is "tRNA-Asp". It matches the Rfam family "tRNA". Rfam says of the family: Transfer RNA (tRNA) molecules are approximately 80 nucleotides in length. Their secondary structure includes four short double-helical elements and three loops (D, anti-codon, and T loops). Further hydrogen bonds mediate the characteristic L-shaped molecular structure. tRNAs have two regions of fundamental functional importance: the anti-codon, which is responsible for specific mRNA codon recognition, and the 3' end, to which the tRNAs corresponding amino acid is attached (by aminoacyl-tRNA synthetases). tRNAs cope with the degeneracy of the genetic code in two manners: having more than one tRNA (with a specific anti-codon) for a particular amino acid; and 'wobble' base-pairing, i.e. permitting non-standard base-pairing at the 3rd anti-codon position. RNAcentral also lists the same sequence under 2 other names. The record is from RNAcentral. Lineage: Bacteria; Pseudomonadati; Myxococcota; Myxococcia.